Molecule: long non-coding RNA, 2294 nt
Filed under: Sus scrofa (pig)
Lineage: Eukaryota; Metazoa; Chordata; Mammalia; Artiodactyla; Suidae
Description: lncRNA (ENSSSCG00035017603.1)
Source: RNAcentral
GCUGCCUGUCUCUACAGCAAGUUCCUCUGCUCACUGACUGUGAGACUCAGAGUUACGUGACCUCUACUUCCACCCCCCAAUCUGUGCUUUGGGGUUAUUAACAGCACCCUCUUCCAGGGAUCUGUGGUACAAAUUAAAUGCACUAGCAGGUGCAGGGAAAGGUGAGCUGUUGAAACUACUGCUCAUAUUUUCCUCCCCUUCCUCCCUCUCAGCUCUGGUUCACUCCCCUGCCACCUCAUAUAAUUAAUCAAUCUGAAGGAAUUCAGUAAGAACAAGAAACAUUAUCUGAGCACAUACUCUGUUCCAGAUACUCUGCGAUUCAGUAGCUCUGCCAGGAGAUGGAUAUAUCAAAAUCAGAAUUACAAGGCAAUGUGAAUAAUCAUUUGCGAUCAACUUAAGAAAAUAACAGCUAUAAAGCAGUAUAGCAACUACAACAACAUCGACAUAAGUAAGGGGAGGAAGAGAUGCAGAAAAGGGGAGCAGAGAAGGGAAGGCUCUGGAGGGAGAGAAGUACCCGUGAAUGGAGGGUCCAAGCUGGAUUUAUAGGCAAACACAGCACCUGAGACAGCAUAGAGGCAUCUCCAGGGUCACUUCCUGCCCUCCGCUUCCAAGCAUCUCCCCGUGCUGUUUACCUCCCCAUAGAAUGUCCCUCAUCUUCUACAAUCCAGCUCAAGCCCCACUUUCCCCAAGAAGCCUGUCCCAACAUCUAGAACUCAUUUGCUCCUUCCCUGUACUUUUAUUUAGAAGCCUGUCCCUGAGCUCUGACCAAACCAACAGUCUUCAGUCUCCUUUAGAGAAAUCACCUUCUAAUUCUCUGUAUUUUUCCUCUCCCCUCUCCCAAGUGCCCACACAGUGCUGGAUACACAGUAGGAGCAUUUCAUUGGAUGAAACGAUGACUGAAACAAUUAAAUAACUAAUGUUUGGUCCCAUCAUCAUGGCUGGGAGAGGCCACUUCCCACUGAAAUCUCCAUCAGCCUUUGAAGAAAUCAGAGCGAUUUGCCUUUUCGGCUUUCACACUACGAUGCUCCUUUUCCAUGAUUCUCUUCAGGAAUCCCAGGGAGCAGAAGGGACCUGGCUGGUGAUCACAAAAUGGCUGGGAGACAAGAAGGAAAGGGAUGUAGAAAGCUGGCAAACACAACCCUCAUUGCUGAAAUGUCAAACCGACUGAAGUCAAGCCCAUUAAUCUUGUUUUAUUGCAAGAUUCACAAUCUCCAUGCUAUGGCAGCCACAAAAUUGAUGGAUGGGUUUCCCUGCGUUCACCCAGCGCCUCCGCUGCCUGGGAAACCAGAUCUCAGAUGAACAGGCAGAGGAAAUUAAACCUGCCUUUCGAGGUUUUCAGUAACUGCUAGUAGAGAAAGAUGGGGCAUUCGGGGUCUCUGGCAGCCAAGGUGCUUACGCUUGGUUUUUCCUGCAUUUUUUUGUAAGCAAAUCAAAGAAACAGCAGUGCUGAAACCAUCAUGGUAAAUCUUCAGCACCUUCCACUCCAAGGAGGGGGUGGGAGUGGUUACAACCUGGCCGCCCUGUUGCUUGAGGCCGCCAGGCUGUGAUCUUGUUUGACUUCUUGCUAAUGAAGUAGGUGAAAGAUGAUAAUGCCUGGCUGUUUUAAUUUGCAAUUUUUUUGAUCACUGGGGAGGCUGAAUCUUUUUCCAUAUGUCAGUUUUCUAGCGGGAUUUCCUCUUUUGUAAAUAACCUUUUUCUUUGUGCCCCUAAUAUAAUUCAACAUUCAGUUCAGCAGUUCCACAUUUAUUGUGGACCUAUUAUGUGAGUAGCACAUUCAGUGCAAGAUAUACAGACAAAUGUCUAUUCCAUUUCCAAAUACAGUGCAGGAAUGGGGGUGGAAAGAGAGAGAGAGUCCAAACCUAUGUCACUUCGAUAUAGUGAUGUCGCUAUGUCACUGCAAUACAGCUGAUAAGGAUCCUCCCAGAAUACUUUCCUUGAUUUUGCUGUGAUUUGUGUUAAUUUUAGAGAAUAUAGAGGCAUUUCAAUUUUUUAUGUCAUGCAUUGUGUAUCUUCAGAUCUUUGCUCAUUCUGUUUUCUACCUUUCUAUUUUCUGUUUCUUUUCUUUUCUUUCUUUCUUUUUUUUUUUUAAGGGCUGUACCCACGCCUGGGAACGUCCAUAUGCCUGGGUGCAGCCCUAAAAAGAGACAAAUAAUAAAUAAAUGAAAUAAAAAAUACAAUCUUGGAGUUCCCUGGUAGCUUAGUGGUUAAGGAUCCAGCAUUGUCACUGCUGUGGUGCAGGUUUGAUCCCUGGCUCUGGAACUUCUGCAUGCCGCAGGUGCAGCCAAAAAUAAAAA